Molossus molossus (Pallas's mastiff bat) is the source of this 313-nucleotide long non-coding RNA. RefSeq lists it as uncharacterized. The transcript is spliced from 3 exons. Lineage: Eukaryota; Metazoa; Chordata; Mammalia; Chiroptera; Molossidae. The record is from RefSeq and is a predicted model, not a curated record.
CAUGACAGUCUUCAACCAUCGACAUCUGAGGGUCUUCAUCAGCCUGGGUGUAACUCUGCAGGGUCUGACAAGCAGCAAGCGUCUCUUCACAGUCCUGAACUCUAGGAAAGAACACUGUACACAAUAAGCUACAACUGGAGGAAGAAAAGACGUCAAAGAAAUGCCUUACCUUUCGCUUCAAUGUGGGCUUUGUAAGAAUUGGUGCGGCCUUUCCGAGAUGGCUGAUUAUUUGCAGGAAGACUAUCACGAGAAAGGACUUGUUUGUUCAAACGUGCAGAACUGGCGGGUGCCAUAACUUCUGGUUUCUUUUCAC